RNAcentral lists this ribosomal RNA (254 nucleotides) under uncultured bacterium. Its description in RNAcentral is "partial 16S ribosomal RNA". It matches the Rfam family "Bacterial small subunit ribosomal RNA", at positions 524 to 776 of the family's 1533-position model. The record is from RNAcentral.
UACGUAGGGUGCGAGCGUUGUCCGGAAUUAUUGGGCGUAAAGAGCUCGUAGGCGGUGUGUCACGUCGGCCGUGAAAACCUGCAGCUUAACUGUGGGCGUGCGGUCGAUACGGGCAUCGCUGGAGUUCGGCAGGGGAGACUGGAAUUCCUGGUGUAGCGGUGAAAUGCGCAGAUAUCAGGAGGAACACCGGUGGCGAAGGCGGGUCUCUGGGCCGAUACUGACGCUGAGGAGCGAAAGCGUGGGGAGCAAACAGG